AAGUGGAUUAGUGGCGCACGGGUGAGUAAUACAUAGAUAACAUACCCUUUAGUCUGGAAUAGCCACUGGAAACGGUGAUUAAUACUGGAUACUCCCUACGGGGGAAAGUUUUUCGCUAAAGGAUUGGUCUAUGUCCUAUCGGCUUGUUGGUGAGGUAAUGGCUCACCAAGGCUAUGACGGGUAUCCGACCUGAGAGGGUGAACGGACACACUGGAACUGAGACACGGUCCAGACUCCUACGGGAGGCAGCAGUAGGGAAUAUUGCUCAAUGGGGGAAACCCUGAAGCAGCAACGCCGCGUGGAGGAUGAAGGUUUUAGGAUUGUAAACUCCUUUUGUUAGAGAAGAUU
This 348-nucleotide ribosomal RNA is filed under the name uncultured Helicobacter sp. RNAcentral's name for it is "bacterial SSU rRNA". It matches the Rfam family "Bacterial small subunit ribosomal RNA", at positions 85 to 450 of the family's 1533-position model. The record is from RNAcentral. Lineage: Bacteria; Pseudomonadati; Campylobacterota; Epsilonproteobacteria; Campylobacterales; Helicobacteraceae.